CACACCGCCAUGGAUGGGGCCUUCAAGCACCCAUCCCUCCCUACUCUACCUCCCUGCUGAUGGGUGUCCUCACCACCCGCUCCCGCAAAGCCUACGUUGAGACGAUGACGAGCUGCUUUGUGCCCUCCCUCCCAUGUAAGCUUGAAGCGGCCGCGCUCGCGCACCAUGCGGAUGUGACACCAUUUUUUUUCCAAGAUGCCAUGAUUCCUCUAUGGAUUAGUUUUUUUAUUUUUAGGCGGUUGUAGCUUUUUGAUUGGUCGGUUCCAGCUUUUUAUUUUGCCGGUUGUAGCAAUUUCAUCCAUGAGCACCAAUCUUUGAUUCGUUGGUUCCAACAUUUUUUCCCGCCGGUAGUAGCUUUUCACGUUCUUGUUCGAACUUUUGAUUUCGCCGGUCGCAAAUAUCCCCCUUUCGACAGUAGCAACUUUUUGAUUCAUAGGUUGUAGCAUUUUAUUUCGUCGGCAGUAGCUUUUUGCUCAAGGAAGGGGAUCGAUGAAGAUUUUUUUUGCUACAACCAUGUACCAUAGAAGCCUCAACCGUGUGUGCCAGAGCUGCAAGCCGUGUACACCAGAGCUACAACUGGAGACACCCGUCAUCGGCGAGGCUGCAACCGGCAAGGGCAAUGCUACAACAGGUGCCCAGCAAGCUACAAGCGACACAACGACAAGCUUCAAACCUGGUGGAUCACCAUGCCGGCGAGGGGGGAUGCAACCAUGGUAGCGAGUUGCUGGAACUGUCUUUUAUUUUUGCUACGAGAGGCCAAAAAUUUUGCUAUGUUCCGGUGACGAAGGUCCAUGGUUUUGCUGGAGCCGGCUAAACUUUUGCUUCAACCGACUUUUUUCUUAGUUACUUAGAUUGUUUUUUCUAGAACAUAGGGCAUGUGACGACGGCGAUGAUGAGCUGCUUCGACGGACAUGGAGGACACGGGGAGUGGUGACCAUACCGGUGGUGCGCAACAUCGGCGAGGGACGGUGUUGCGGUCGGCGUCGCGGAGCUACCAUGGAUGCAACAUGGAGGCAAGAGAAAAGGCUGCUAUGGUCAAUGACCUUUUUGUUGCGAGCGACGGCGGCGCGGAUAGGCGGUGAGCGUCCGCGGCGAGGCAAAUGGGCGAGGUUGGCGAGCGCGGCUCAUCGACAGAUGAGGACGAGCGGGGCGCUGGCCUCUUUCCCCUUACUUUUUUCUCCUCUGCUUUUUUUGUUGUAGCAUUUUUGUAAGGUAGAUGAAGGAAUCAUACUGUUUACAAAACUAGAUCGUGCGGCCCACGCAGGACCGGCUGAAAUUUUAGGCCGGCGCACUGUGCGCCUAUUAGUGGCCAAGUAAUUUUCAUAAAUAACAUUACUUAUACAUAACUCCUGGAGAAAGACAAAAAAUUGGCAUUUACCUUCGUCUUUAGUACUCCCUCCGACCCAAAAAAGUGUCAUGGCUUUAGUUCAAAUUUGAACUGCUGAACUAAAGCCAUGCCACAUUUUCUUGGAUCGGAGGGAGUAUAAUAUUACCAUGAUGGCAGAUACACACAUACAUUUAAUGACAUCGAAAACCAUUCUCGUUAAAAUGUGGCUGACUGGCGUGCUUUGUCCACAGGAAUAGGUGUACACAUGUUGUCAGCAAUACGAGAAAUAGGGUCCUGCGAGCCUACUGAAAUGCGCCGAACUCAACGACGUGAAGUGCAAACAGCAAGGCACCAAGAGAUAGCACUAAGGGGCGGUGGUCAGGGCUCCCCAAGAACAUGCUCUCAUCCAGCUUAAGCAUGGCAAUCACGCAUUACCCCAAGCAUGCUCGAGCCCCCGACCUCUACUUCAACAACAACGAAGAUAACUCAAGAGCCAAGCGGGUGCACAGGGCUGGACCCCGAGCACCUUCGAUUCCUGCAAGCACUAGCUUUGCUCCAGCGGGCCUUCUAGGGGACUGCCAACUGACGAGACAAACAUGUGCAUGUAAUGCGAGGCUGAUAAGCCUACAACGGCCCAUGUCCCAUAGGAGGCAAUGUUGAUGGCUUCGCAUGUCGGUUCACAUCAUCCCAGGCGGUAAGGCAUGUUGCAUGUCAUCAUUGACCUCAUCACUAACACCAUCCUCACAAAUUGUUGAAGCAUCCGCGAAGACACGAGUCCACCUUCACCACUUGAAAUGUAGCGCCCAUCAAAGGCUCGUGCCUCACAGAAACGCCAAACUUCCCCUGCCACAUGAAUAGCAACGCCCAUUGGAGUGUUUGCGGAAACACCACACAUGG
Molecule: long non-coding RNA, 2224 nt
Filed under: Triticum aestivum (bread wheat)
Lineage: Eukaryota; Viridiplantae; Streptophyta; Magnoliopsida; Poales; Poaceae
Description: long non-coding RNA (TAES_LNC022884)
Source: RNAcentral